Molecule: small nuclear RNA, 100 nt
Organism: Nomascus leucogenys (northern white-cheeked gibbon)
Lineage: Eukaryota; Metazoa; Chordata; Mammalia; Primates; Hylobatidae
Source: Ensembl
UUGCUUCAGCAGCAUGUAUACCAACAUUGGAACAAUACAGAGAUUACCAUGGCCCCUGCUCGAGGAUGACAUGCAAAUUCAUAAAGCGUUCCAUCCUUUA